CAAUGCUGUGGACUCGAUUGGAUGUACCAUGCUAAUAGCGAUACCUAGGACCAAGAACUCCGAAAUACAUAUCUCCACACCUUUAAAUAUUGUGGUACGUAAAAAUUGCCAUAAAUUUUGUAAAUUUUGCUUGGCGUCUUAAUUAACGGGAGAUUGAAAUUAACCGGGUUCAAUUAAAACCUCAAGUUAAUAUAGGUAUUAUUAGACAAAUCACUUUAUUGUAUUUUGUCGAUUCAGCUUUAUACUGAUUUUAUUGAGUAAUUAUUUAGCGACUGUUUUGUUAUUUGUUUUGUUUUGCGCGGGCAAAUGCUGUUCAGAAGUAUCUGGUUGAACUUCAAUCUCAACUGAAUUCGGUAUAUUAUGUCAUGUUUUAUGUUGACUAUGUCUAUUUCAUAUUAUGCUAUUUGAAUUUUUUUUGUAAUGACUAGUGACGUGUAUUUGUGUUAUUUGCGAAGACCAAUGUGUGGAAUCGAUUGGAUGUACCCAUUGCUAAUAGCGGAUUACCUAGGCCCCCCAGAACUUUUCUGAAAUAAUAUCUCCACACCUUAAAAGAUUGUGGUGUAAACGGUGAAAGUAAGUAAAAAUUGCUAUAAAUUUUAUAAAUUUAUCUUGGGUCUUAAUUAACUGAGAUUGAAAUUCCCCGGGUUCAAUUUCCACCUCAAGUUAAUUAGGUAUUAUUAGACAAUACCUAUAUUGUAUGUCGUUUUGUCUAUUUCAUUAUGCUGAUUGAUUUGAGAUGAAUAUUUAGCGAUGUUUUGUUAUUUGUUUUGUUUUUCGAGGGGAAAUGUUGUUGAUUAUCUGGUUAUCUUCAACCUCAAGUUAAUUCGGUAUUAUAUGUCCCCAUGUUUUAUGUUGUACUAUGUCUAUUUCCAUAUUAUGAUGAUUUGACUUUUUUUGAAUGACUAGUGACCUUUUUAUAUUUGUGUUAUAUUGCGAGGACCAAUGCUUGGACUCAUUGGAGUUUGUACAUGAUGAUACGAUACCUAGGACCAAGAACUCCGAAAUACAUAUCUCCACCUUUAAAUAUUGUGCGUACGUAAAAUUGACUAUAAAUUUGUAAUUAUCUUGGUCUUAAUUAAAUUGAGAUUAAAAUUUCCUCGGGUUUAAUUUCAAACUCAAGUAAUAGGUAUUAUUAUGCAUACGUUAUGUUGUAUUUUUAUUCAUAUUAUACUGAUUGAAUUUUUGUUGUUGGUAAUAGCGACUAUUUUGCAUUUGUUUGUGUUGCGAGGGUAAAUACUGUUGAUUAUCUGGUUUAACUUCAACUAAGUUAAUUCGGGUAUAUAUGUCAUGCCUUAUGUUUGUACUUGUAUAUUUCCAAAUUGCUGAUUUGAAUGAUUUGAGUAAUGAGUAGUGACUUUUUGCAUUAUUUUAUUUUGCGAGAACCAAUUGCUGUGGAUCGAUUUGGAUGUACCAUGCUAAUAGCGAUACCAGGACCAAGACCUAUGAAAUCCAUACCCACACCUUUAAAGUGGGUUUGGUACGUAAAAAACGGCUAGAAAUUUUGAAAUUUAUCUUGGGUUGUAAUUAACUUGAGAUUUAAAUUUUCCGGGUUCCAAUUUCAACCUCAAGUUAAUUAGGUAUAUUAGGACAAUACCUUAUAUUGUAUUUUUUCUAUUUCAUUUAGUAUACUGAUUUGAAUUUUUGGAGUAAUAUUUAGAGAAGUGUUUUUGUAUUUGUUUUGUUUUUGGCGAGGGCAAAUGCUGUAGAUUUCUGGUUUUAACUUCAAUCUCACUUUAAUCGGUAUUAUAUGUCCUUGUCUUUGUGUACUUUGUCUAUUUCAUAUUAUGGCUGAUUUGAAUUUUUUUGUAUUCUCACUAUUGAUUUUUUGUAUUUGUGUUUAUUUUUGCGAGGAGCAAUGCUGUGACUCUAUUUUGAUGUACUCAUUCUCAUAGCAAUUCCCUAGGCCCAAGACUUUUCCUUAAAUACAAUCUCCACACCUUAAAAUAGUUUUUUCGUACAAACUUGCUAUAAAUUUUUGUAAAUUUUAUCUGGGUCCUUAAUUAACUUGAGAUUGAAAUUUCCUCCCGGGUUCAAUUUUUCCACCUCAAGUUAAUUGGUUAUUAUUAACAAUACCUAUAAUUGUAUUUGGUCCCUAUUUCAUAUUAUCUGAUUUGAAUUUUUUGAGGUAAUAUUUGCGACUGUUUUGUAUUUUUGUUUUUUGUUUUGGCGGGGCAAAUGCUGUAGAUUACCUGGUUUAACUUCAAAACUUCAACCUCAACUUAUUCGGUAAUUAUAGUCCUUGGUCUUAUGUUUGUACUUUUUCUAUUCAUAUUAUCCCCAUGAUUUGAAUGUUUUGAGUCAUGAGUUAGUGACUUUUUUUGUGUUUUUGCCAUUUAUUUAUUUUGCGAGACCAAUAUGCUGUGGACUCGAUGGAUUACCAUGCUAUAGCGAUACCUAGGCCCCAGAACUAGCAAAUACAUACCGCCACAGACACACUUUACCUUUGUGGUAACGUAAAAAUUGUAUAAAUUUUUUUAUAAUUUAUCUUGGGUCUUAAUUAACCUUGGAGAUUAAAUUUUUCCGGGUUGGUUCCACUUUCAAACCAACCUCACAAGUUAAUUAGGUAUAUUACCAAUAACCUUAUAUUGUAAUUUUGUCUAUUUCAUCUGUAAUACGAUUUGAAAUUUUUGAGUAAUAUAUUUAGCGAUUGUUUUUUAUUUGUUUUGUUUUUUUGCGAGGGCAUGCUGUAGAUUAUCUGGGGGGGGUUUUUUUAACUUCAAUCUCCACUUAAUUUGGUAUUAAUGCCCUUGUCCUUAUGUUGUACUUUUUGUCAUUUCAUAUUAUGCUGAUUUGAAUUUUUUUUGUACUGACUAGUGACUUUUUUGUAUUUGUGUUAUUUUGGCGAGGACCAAUGCUGUGGACCUCGAUUGGGAUGUCCAUGCUAAUAGCAUACCUAGGCCCAAGAACUUUUCUGAAAUACAUAUCCAUCCCCACACCUAAAAUAUUGUGGUACUGUCAAAAUUGCUAUCAAUUUUGUAAAUUCUUCUUGGGUCUUAAUUAACUUUAGAUUGAAAUUCCUCCCGGGUUCAAUUUCCACCUCAAGAGUUAAUAAUUAGGUAUAUUUAGACAAUCCCUUAUAUUGUAUUUUUGUCUAUUUCAUAUUCUACUGAUUUGAAUUUUUGAGUAAUAUUUAUGCGACUGUUUUGGUAUUUGUUUUGUUUUCGAGUGCAAUUGGCUGUGAUUACCUACCUGGUUUAACUUCAACCUCAACUUAAUUCGUAUUAUAUUUCUUUGUCUUAAUGUUUGUACUUUUUCUAUUUCAUAUUAUGCUUAUUUGAAUUUUUUUUGUAUGACUACGUGACUUUUUUGUAUUUGUGUUAUUUUUUUGCGAGGCCCAAUGUUUUGGACUCGAUUGGAUGUACAUGCUAAUAAGCGUACCUAUUUCCCCAGAACUUUUCUGAAUACAUAUCUCCACUCCACAACCUUAAAAUUUGUGGUACGUAAAAUUAAUAUAAAUUUUUAUAAAUUUAUCUUGGGUCUUAAUUAACUGAGAAUUGAAAUUCCACCGGGUUCAUUUCCACCUCAAGUUAAUUAGGUAUUAUUAGACAAUACCUUAUAUUGUCUUUUGUCUAUUUCAUAUUGUGUCUGAUUUGAAUUUUGGUAAUAUUUAUCGACUGUUUUGGUAUUUGUUUUUGGUUUUGCGAGGUAAAUGCGUUGAUUAGUCUGGUUUAUCUUAACCUCAAGUUAUUCGGUAAUUAUCUGUUUCCAUGUUUUAUGUUUUACUAGUCGAUUUCAAAUAUGCUGAUUUGAAUUUUUUUGUAAUGACUCGUGACUUUUUGUAUUUGUGUUAUUUUGGCGGAGGAACCAAUGCUGUGGCUCGCUUGGAUGUACCAUGCUAAUAGCUAUAACCCCUAGGACCAAGAACGUCUCCGAAAUACAUAUCUCCACAUCUUUAAAUAUUGUUGUCCGUCAAAUUGCAUAAUUUUUGUAAAUUUAUCUGGGGGUCUUAAUUAACUUGAGAUUAAAAUUUCUCGGUUCAAUUUAAACCUCAGUUAAUUAAGGUAUUAUGAUGCAAUACGUUAUGUUGUAUUUUUUUUUAUUUCAUAUUAUGCUGAUUUGAAUUUUUGUGCAAUAUUUAGCAACUAUUUUUGCAUUUGUUUUGCGAGGGUAAAUGCUGUUGAUUAUCUGGUUUAACUUCAACCUCAAGUUAAUUCGGUAUUAUAUGUCAUUGCCUUAUGUUGUACUUUGUAUAUUUCAAAUUAUGCUGAUUUGAAUGUUUGAGUAAUGAGUAGUGACUUUUUGCAUUUAUUUUAUUUUGCGAGAACCAAUGCUGUGGACUCGAUUGGAUGUACCAUGCUAAUAGCGAUACCUAGGCCCAAGACCUAUGAAAU
Molecule: long non-coding RNA, 4331 nt
Filed under: Actinidia chinensis (golden kiwifruit)
Lineage: Eukaryota; Viridiplantae; Streptophyta; Magnoliopsida; Ericales; Actinidiaceae
Description: long non-coding RNA (ACHI_LNC000870)
Source: RNAcentral